Small nucleolar RNA from Dendrobium catenatum, 107 nucleotides. RefSeq annotates it as small nucleolar RNA snoR97. The transcript has a single exon. The record is from RefSeq and is a predicted model, not a curated record. Lineage: Eukaryota; Viridiplantae; Streptophyta; Magnoliopsida; Asparagales; Orchidaceae.
AUUGCAAUAUGAGCAUGGAGGCAUAAAAACUCAUAGAUUUGGUGUUGUCAUCACCUUCAUCUCUGCUUGCUUACAAGAGUUUGGAGUUGAAUUGCAACACAACAUAA